This 468-nucleotide ribosomal RNA is filed under the name uncultured bacterium. RNAcentral's name for it is "partial 16S ribosomal RNA". It matches the Rfam family "Bacterial small subunit ribosomal RNA", at positions 28 to 507 of the family's 1533-position model. The record is from RNAcentral.
GACGAACGCUGGCGGCGUGCUUAACACAUGCAAGUCGAACGGAAAGGCCCUGCUUUUGUGGGUUGCUCGUUUGGCGAACGGGUGAGUAACACGUGUGUAACCUGCCCUUGUCUUUGUGAUAUCUUCAGGAAACUGGGGCUAAUACCCGAUAUGAUCUCCUGCUGCAUGGUGGGGGUUGGAAAGUUUCGGCGGUUGGGGAUGGUCUCGCUGCUUAUCAGCUUGUUUGUGGGGUAGUUGCUUACCAAGGCUUUGACGGGUAGCCGGCCUGAGAGGGUUACCGGGGACAAUGGGACUGAGAUACGGAGCAGACGGCAACGGGAGGCAGCAGUGGGGAAUAUUGCACAAUGGGCGGAAGCGUGAUGCAGAAACGCCGCGUGCGGGAUGACGGCCUUCGGGUUGUAAACAGAUUUGGAAUGAGACGAAGAGUGAGUGACGGUAAUGGGUAAAGAAGCAACGGCUAACUACGUG